RNAcentral lists this transfer RNA (70 nucleotides) under Conus spurius. RNAcentral describes it as "tRNA-Lys". It matches the Rfam family "tRNA". From Rfam's summary of the family: Transfer RNA (tRNA) molecules are approximately 80 nucleotides in length. Their secondary structure includes four short double-helical elements and three loops (D, anti-codon, and T loops). The record is from RNAcentral. Lineage: Eukaryota; Metazoa; Mollusca; Gastropoda; Neogastropoda; Conidae.
UCCUAGGUGACUGAGUGGAAGUGCUAGACUUUUAAUCUAGAGACAGCAUAUAUGAGAAUGCUUCUAGGAA